UGGCGGACGGGUGAGUAACACGUGGGUAACCUGCCCUUUAGCGGGGGAUAACACUUGGAAACAGGUGCUAAUACCGCAUAAUCUUUUUUCUCGCAUGAGUAAAAAGUGAAAGACGCUUUUGCGUCACUAAAGGAUGGACCCGCGCUGCAUUAGCUAGUUGGUGAGGUAACGGCUCACCAAGGCCACGAUGCAUAGCCGACCUGAGAGGGUGAUCGGCCACACUGGGACUGAGACACGGCCCAGACUCCUACGGGAGGCAGCAGUAGGGAAUCUUCGGCAAUGGACGAAAGUCUGACCGAGCAACGCCGCGUGAGUGAAGAAGGUUUUCGGAUCGUAAAACUCUGUUGUUAGAGAAGAAUAAGGAUGAGAGUAGAAAGUUCAUCCCUUGACGGUAUCUAACCAGAAAGCCACGGCUAACUACGUGCCAGCAGCCGCGGUAAUACGCAGGUGGCAAGCGUUGUCCGGAUUUAUUGGGCGUA
Molecule: ribosomal RNA, 479 nt
Filed under: uncultured bacterium
Lineage: Bacteria
Description: bacterial SSU rRNA
Rfam family: Bacterial small subunit ribosomal RNA
Source: RNAcentral